GACAGAGGUGCCAAGCGUUAGGCGGAAUCACUGGGCUUAAAGCGUGUGUAGGCGGGUGCCUAAGUACCUUGUGAAACCCCACGGCUCAACCGUGGAACGGCUGGGUAUACUGGGUGCCUUGGGUCAUCCAGGGGCUGCCGGAACAAAUGGUGGAGCGGUGAAAUGCGUAGAUAUCAGGAGGAACACCGAUGGCGAAGGCAGCUCGCUGGGACGGUACUGACGCUGAGGCGCGAAAGCGUGGGGAGCAAACAGG
Molecule: ribosomal RNA, 253 nt
Filed under: uncultured bacterium
Lineage: Bacteria
Description: partial 16S ribosomal RNA
Rfam family: Bacterial small subunit ribosomal RNA
Source: RNAcentral